CCUACGGGAGGCAGCAGUGAGGAAUAUUGGUCAAUGGUCGGGAGACUGAACCAGCCAAGCCGCGUGAGGGAUGACGGUACAGAGUAUCGUAAACUUCUUUUGUCAGGGAACAAAGCCGGGGACGUGUCCCUGGUUGAGUGUACCUGAAGAAAAAGCAUCGGCUAACUCCGUGCCAGCAGCCGCGGUAAUACGGAGGAUGCGAGCGUUAUCCGGAUUUAUUGGGUUUAAAGGGUGCGAAGGGGGUCUGUUCAGUCAGCGGGAAAAGCCCGGGGCUAAACGCAGGCUCGCCGUUGAAACUGGCAGUCUCGAGUUGGAGAGAGGUAUGCGGAAUGCGCGGUGUAGCGGUGAAAUGCUUAGAUAGCGCGCAGAACUCCGAUUGCGAAGGCAGCAUGCCGGCUCCGCACUGACGCUGAGGCACGAAAGCGUGGGUAUCGAACAGGAUUAGAUACCCUGGUAGUC
Molecule: ribosomal RNA, 459 nt
Filed under: uncultured bacterium
Lineage: Bacteria
Description: partial 16S ribosomal RNA
Rfam family: Bacterial small subunit ribosomal RNA
Source: RNAcentral